RNAcentral lists this ribosomal RNA (232 nucleotides) under uncultured bacterium. Its description in RNAcentral is "partial 16S ribosomal RNA". It matches the Rfam family "Bacterial small subunit ribosomal RNA", at positions 99 to 334 of the family's 1533-position model. The record is from RNAcentral.
CGGACGGGUGAGUAAUGUCUGGGAAACUGCCCGAUGGAGGGGGAUAACUACUGGAAACGGUAGCUAAUACCGCAUAACGUCGCAAGACCAAAGAGGGGGACCUUCGGGCCUCUUGCCAUCGGAUGUGCCCAGAUGAGAUUAGCUAGUAGGUGGGGUAAAGGCUCACCUAGGCGACGAUCCCUAGCUGGUCUGAGAGGAUGACCAGCCACACUGGAACUGAGACACGGUCCAG